GAAGCUCUGGAAGAAGAGGUGGUUCGUGCUGUCAGAUAUGUGCCUCUUACUACUACAGAGAUGAGAAAGAGGAGGGUAUCCUCGGCAGCAUCCUCCUGCCUAGCUUUCAUAUAUCUAUGCUGUCUGUCGACGACCACAUCAACAGGAAAUAUGCCUUCAAGGCGACACAUCCCAACAUGCGGACGUACUACUUUUGCACAGAUGCAGCCAAAGACAUGGAGUCAUGGAUGAAGGUGAUGACAGACGCUGCCCUGGUGCACUCCGAGCCUGUCAAGAGGUUUGUAUUCAAUCAAUCAAUUAAUCAAUCAAUCAAUCAAUCAAACAGAUGCUUUGUUUCCCAUUCAGUCAAGAUGUCUGUACUGAGUAGUAUCAAAACAGAGACACUAUUUCCCAUUCAUAUGAGCUGCGAUGCUCAUAUUGUCUUAAAAGGCAAUUUAGCAACUGAAGUGGGAGGAAUAGAUUGAUUAGAUUUAAUAUGAGUGUUUGAACGGUGGGAACCUCCAUGAUAGAAAUAUGAAGGAGCUGUUCUGUUUAACGUUUACUUAUCUUCUCUUGUUUGUUGUUUGACCUCUGUUAAUGGCGCUCCUCAUGUUGUUUAGGGAAGAGUCUCAUCGACCUCAGCAUAUUCCAGUCCUCUAGAGGGCUACAGAAACA
Molecule: long non-coding RNA, 654 nt
Organism: Coregonus clupeaformis (lake whitefish)
Lineage: Eukaryota; Metazoa; Chordata; Actinopteri; Salmoniformes; Salmonidae
Exons: 3
Source: RefSeq, a predicted model, not a curated record